This is an RNA transcript of Gymnodraco acuticeps, 2105 nucleotides long. It is a transcript of the gene named phosphomannomutase 2, with no coding region annotated. NCBI's taxonomy places the organism in Eukaryota, Metazoa, Chordata, Actinopteri, Perciformes, Bathydraconidae. The transcript has 8 exons. The record is from RefSeq and is a predicted model, not a curated record.
CACAGUCACACUCCAGCAUAGUAGGUGGCGGUAAUGCACCUUAAACGUUAGGUGCCACCCGCCAUUAAACACAAAGAAGAAGAAGUUGCGAUUUCUGCACUUUUGCAGAUGUGAAGGGCGAGGACGAGAGGCAUACAAGAACUCUUGGAGCAAAGCGACAAAGACUGAGGACACUGAGGGACAGAGGAGACACUCAUCUUCAGUGAGACAGGCAGCGGCAGAGAGACAGGAAGAUGAGAAGAGCCGCCGAGGACCCGAGCACGCUCUGUCUGUUUGACGUUGACGGGACGCUCACAGCCGCGAGACAGCGUGCCACUCCACACAUGUCAGAUUUCCUUGAGAAGCUAAAGACUCGGGUUCGAGUCGGAGUGGUAGGAGGGUCGGACCUUUGUAAGAUCAAAGAGCAGUUAGGAGAAGAUGUGAUCCAGAAAGUGGACUACUUGUUUGCUGAGAAUGGUCUUGUGGCCUAUAAGGAUGGACAGUUGCUCUGUAUCCAGUCUAUUCAGGCGCACAUGGGAGAAGAGUUGCUCCAGGAUUUCAUUAACUUCUGUCUCAACUACAUGGCCAAGAUCAAACUGCCUAAGAAGAGGGGGACAUUCAUUGAAUUCCGUAACGGCAUGUUAAACGUCUCCCCUAUUGGGCGCAGCUGUACCCCGGAAGAGAGGAAGGAGUUCUACGAGCUGGAUCAGAAGGAGAAAAUCAGAGAGAAGUUUGUGUCAAUAUUAAAGGAAGAAUUCAAAGGAAAAGGACUGUCAUUUUCAAUCGGUGAGUCAAGUCCAAUUGCAGUCCAGUGUUGGUUUGGAAACGCGCCAUUAGAGUGUAGGAACAGAGCAUUAGGUCAGGGUCAGUGUGGUGUCACCGUCUUCCUGCCUCUCGUCCUCUUCUGCGUACAGGAGGCCAGAUCAGCUUUGAUGUCUUUCCUGACGGCUGGGAUAAGACAUUCUGUCUGAGGUUUGUUGAGGAGGACUUCUCAACCAUCCACUUCUUUGGGGACAAGACCAAACCUGGAGAAAACGACUACGAGAUCUACUGCGACCCUCGGACCAUGGGCCAUGGAGUGUCCAGUCCAGAGGAGACUCAGCGACUGUGCCAGCAGCUCUUCUUCUCGUGAGACUAUGAAGAGUGUUGUACACACACUGAUACUGCAGGUCUUGUUUCAUCAUAUCUUAAGGUUUAAUCACAGAAAUAAUGAAUUGAAUGCAGCAGUGUCAUGUGUAUUAAUGUCGAGAGGAAAGACUAACGGACAUUCGGGUUGGGUUUUAAAUAAAGCUGUAUUGGUUGUAAUUGGGAUAUAAUGUUUUACAAUGUAUUGUUGGGGGAAUUGUAUCCAGAGUUGGGCUUGGCUUGUCAUCAUCAUGGUAAACAGUUACCCACUAAAUGUGUGCUUUUGCAGAGAUGUGCAAUCUCCCCAAUCGUGUUUUCGAUUGUUAAAGCAAACCUCAACAGGAAUCUGUUGUAUGUGUCAUUCUAUGUGAUGCAUGUCGUUACACAUGAUCAGGGAAGGUGCUAGACAGUAGAUCAAAGAUCACCUGAAAGCCCUGGGACACUCACAGAGGACUGAUUCCCUUCUGAUGAUCACAUGUCAUGGAACACACUGAGCCGGACCUCUCAUGUCUUCCCCUUGGCAUGUCUUCUUGUAGUGUCUCUGUCAGCCAUGUUUAGUAUCACUGCUCCAGUGUAUUCGCACACGCAGUCACCACAGUAUCCAGACGUCCUCCUGUAUGUCAGCGAAUAGCACAUACUAAUACUUUGAUGCAUAUGGUUGUCAGUAGAAGGCAUCACAUUUUGUAGGAAAUAUCACCAGACAAUGAAUUGAUGUCAUGGCCCCUGCAGGUAGAAACGUAUGAGAAUAUAUCUGUCAUGAAUGCCCUAUAAAAUGUGUGAACUUCUUUAUACACAGCACUUGAAUUAAGUUUAAACUGAAGAAGAUUCUACUGUAAAAGAUGUGGGAAAUAAAAGAAUCGACCCAUUCUGAAAAGUACAAUGUGUGGGGAGCCCCGCAGAAACGGGAUAUUAAUAAUUGUGUAAAUCAUUUUCAAAUGAAGCAAAAAAGGUUUGCACAGAAUACCUGAAAUAAAGACAUGAGCAGGAAAGGUACUCACAAA